UCACCCACAUCCACAUUCCACUAACUAUACUCCACUCACUCAUACACUAUAAUCUAUAUAGUAUAAAUACACCAACAGUAAAAAAGAAGAAGAAAAAUCAUCAACCAAAAGAGACCCACACACACGGACAAAGAGAGAAUUAGUAAAAAACAAAAAAAAACCCUAUACAUACAAACAUACAUACAUGCACAAAACAAAAAAAAAAACCACUCCCACCAAAAGAACACGUCAAAAAUGAUUAAAAAACAAA
RNAcentral lists this long non-coding RNA (250 nucleotides) under Solanum tuberosum (potato). RNAcentral describes it as "long non-coding RNA (STUB_LNC001543)". The record is from RNAcentral. Lineage: Eukaryota; Viridiplantae; Streptophyta; Magnoliopsida; Solanales; Solanaceae.